Molecule: ribosomal RNA, 610 nt
Filed under: Lactococcus sp.
Lineage: Bacteria; Bacillati; Bacillota; Bacilli; Lactobacillales; Streptococcaceae
Description: bacterial SSU rRNA
Rfam family: Bacterial small subunit ribosomal RNA
Source: RNAcentral
UUAGCUAGUUGGUGAGGUAAAGGCUCACCAAGGCGAUGAUACAUAGCCGACCUGAGAGGGUGAUCGGCCACAUUGGGACUGAGACACGGCCCAAACUCCUACGGGAGGCAGCAGUAGGGAAUCUUCGGCAAUGGACGAAAGUCUGACCGAGCAACGCCGCGUGAGUGAAGAAGGUUUUCGGAUCGUAAAACUCUGUUGGUAGAGAAGAACGUUGGUGAGAGUGGAAAGCUCAUCAAGUGACGGUAACUACCCAGAAAGGGACGGCUAACUACGUGCCAGCAGCCGCGGUAAUACGUAGGUCCCGAGCGUUGUCCGGAUUUAUUGGGCGUAAAGCGAGCGCAGGUGGUUUAUUAAGUCUGGUGUAAAAGGCAGUGGCUCAACCAUUGUAUGCAUUGGAAACUGGUAGACUUGAGUGCAGGAGAGGAGAGUGGAAUUCCAUGUGUAGCGGUGAAAUGCGUAGAUAUAUGGAGGAACACCGGUGGCGAAAGCGGCUCUCUGGCCUGUAACUGACACUGAGGCUCGAAAGCGUGGGGAGCAAACAGGAUUAGAUACCCUGGUAGUCCACGCCGUAAACGAUGAGUGCUAGAUGUAGGGAGCUAUAAGUUCUCUG